CACGUAGGGGACGAGCGUUGUCCGGAUUCAUUGGGCGUAAAGCGCGCGUAGGCGGCUCGGAAAGUCGGUCGUGAAAUGCCGGGGCUCAACCCCGGGACUGCGUCCGAUACUCCCGAGCUGGAGGCAGGUAGGGGAGAUCGGAAUUCCUGGUGUAGCGGUGAAAUGCGCAGAUAUCAGGAGGAACACCGGUGGCGAAAGCAGCUCUCUGGGACGGUACUGACGCUGAGACGCGAAAGCGUGGGGAGCGAACAGG
Molecule: ribosomal RNA, 253 nt
Filed under: uncultured bacterium
Lineage: Bacteria
Description: partial 16S ribosomal RNA
Rfam family: Bacterial small subunit ribosomal RNA
Source: RNAcentral